AGAGUUUGAUUCUGGCUCAGGACAAACGCUGGCGGCGUGCGUAACACAUGCAAGUUGAACGCGAAUAUAUGAGAAGUGGUAACACGGAUUGUAUAUUUGAGUAGCGGACGGGUGAGUACAACAUGAGAACCUAUCCUUCAAAGGGGGACAACGUUUGGAAACGGACGCUAAUACCCCAUAAGCCGAGAGGUUAAAGCAGCAAUGCGAUGGAGGAGGGGCUCGUGUCCUAUCAGCUGGUUGGUGGGGUAAUGGCCUACCAAGGCGACGACGGGUAGCCGGCCUGAGAGGGUGUACGGCCACACUGGAACUGAGAUACGGUCCAGACUCCUACGGGAGGCAGCAGUGGGGAAUAUUGGGCAAUGGGAGAAAUCCUGACCCAGCAGCCGCGGUAAU
This 393-nucleotide ribosomal RNA is filed under the name uncultured Deferribacteres bacterium. RNAcentral's name for it is "bacterial SSU rRNA". It matches the Rfam family "Bacterial small subunit ribosomal RNA", at positions 8 to 406 of the family's 1533-position model. The record is from RNAcentral. Lineage: Bacteria; Pseudomonadati; Deferribacterota; Deferribacteres.